UACAGAGGUCUCAAGCGUUGUUCGGAUUCAUUGGGCGUAAAGGGUGCGUAGGCGGCGCGGUAAGUCGGGUGUGAAAUCUCGGAGCUUAACUCCGAAACUGCAUUCGAUACUGCCGUGCUUGAGGACUGGAGAGGAGACUGGAAUUUACGGUGUAGCGGUGAAAUGCGUAGAUAUCGUAAGGAAGACCAGCGGCGAAGGCGGCCAACUGGACAGAUACUGACGCUGAGACUCGAAAGCGUGGGGAGCAAACAGG
RNAcentral lists this ribosomal RNA (253 nucleotides) under uncultured bacterium. Its description in RNAcentral is "partial 16S ribosomal RNA". It matches the Rfam family "Bacterial small subunit ribosomal RNA", at positions 524 to 776 of the family's 1533-position model. The record is from RNAcentral.